This 496-nucleotide ribosomal RNA is filed under the name uncultured bacterium. RNAcentral describes it as "partial 16S ribosomal RNA". It matches the Rfam family "Bacterial small subunit ribosomal RNA", at positions 30 to 523 of the family's 1533-position model. The record is from RNAcentral.
AUUGAACGCUGGCGGAAUGCUUUACACAUGCAAGUCGAACGGUAGAGGGGGCAACCCCUCGAGAGUGGCGAACGGGUGAGUAAUAUAUCGGAACGUGCCCAGUCGUGGGGGAUAACGUAGCGAAAGUUACGCUAAUACCGCAUACGAUCUAAGGAUGAAAGCGGGGGAUCGCAAGAACUCGCGCGAUUGGAGGGGCCGAUAUCAGAUGAGGUAGUUGGUGGGGGAAAGGCUCACCAAGCCAACGAUCUGUAGCUGGUCUGAGAGGACGACCAGCCACACUGGAACUGAGACACGGUCCAGACUCCUACGGGAGGCAGCAGUGGGGAAUUUUGGACAAUGGACGCAAGUCUGAUCCAGCCAUUCCGCGUGCAGGAUGAAGGCCCUCGGGUUGUAAACUGCUUUUGUACGGAACGAAAAGGUCUCUCUUAAUACGGGGGGCUCAUGACGGUACCGUAAGAAUAAGCACCGGCUAACUACGUGCCAGCAGCCGCGGUAA